GUGGGGAAUAUUGGGCAAUGGGCGAAAGCCUGACCCAGCAACGCCGCGUGAAGGAAGAAGGUCUUCGGAUCGUAAACUUCUAUCCUUGGUGAAGAUAAUGACGGUACCUGAGGAGGAAGCCCCGGCUAACUACGUGCCAGCAGCCGCGGUAAUACGUAGGGGGCGAGCGUUGUCCGGAAUGACUGGGCGUAAAGGGCGCGUAGACGGCUGUCUAAGUCUGGAGUGAAAGUCCUGUUUUCAAGGCGGGAAUUGCUUUGGAGACUGGAUGGCUUGAGUGCGGAAGAGGUAAGUGGAAUUCCCAGUGUAGCGGUGAAAUGCGUAGAGAUUGGGAGGAACACCAGUGGCGAAGGCGACUUACUGGGCCGUAACUGACGUUGAAGCGCGAAAGCGUGGGGAGCGAACAGGAUUAGAAACCCGUGUAGUCC
RNAcentral lists this ribosomal RNA (425 nucleotides) under uncultured bacterium. RNAcentral's name for it is "partial 16S ribosomal RNA". It matches the Rfam family "Bacterial small subunit ribosomal RNA", at positions 354 to 796 of the family's 1533-position model. The record is from RNAcentral.